AAUGGGGGGAACCCUGAUCCAGCCAUGCCGCGUGUGUGAAGAAGGCCUUUUGGUUGUAAAGCACUUUAAGCGAGGAGGAGGCUACCGAGAUUAAUACUCUUGGAUAGUGGACGUUACUCGCAGAAUAAGCACCGGCUAACUCUGUGCCAGCAGCCGCGGUAAUACAGAGGGUGCAAGCGUUAAUCGGAUUUACUGGGCGUAAAGCGCGCGUAGGUGGCCAAUUAAGUCAAAUGUGAAAUCCCCGAGCUUAACUUGGAAAUUGCAUUCGAUACUGGUUGGCUAGAGUAUGGGAGAGGAUGGUAGAAUUCCAGGUGUAGCGGUGAAAUGCGUAGAGGUCUGGAGGAAUACCGAUGGCGAAGGCAGCCAUCUGGCCUAAUACUGACACUGAGGUGCGAAAGCAUGGGGAGCAAA
This 411-nucleotide ribosomal RNA is filed under the name uncultured bacterium. RNAcentral's name for it is "bacterial SSU rRNA". It matches the Rfam family "Bacterial small subunit ribosomal RNA", at positions 370 to 772 of the family's 1533-position model. The record is from RNAcentral.